Mytilus californianus (California mussel) is the source of this 571-nucleotide long non-coding RNA. RefSeq lists it as uncharacterized. Lineage: Eukaryota; Metazoa; Mollusca; Bivalvia; Mytilida; Mytilidae. The transcript has 4 exons. The record is from RefSeq and is a predicted model, not a curated record.
UAUAGGGACGGCGCUUCUAGGGUUCCAAUAUCGUCACUUAUUCAUUGUAGUCAUAUUACUAAGUUGAAGUGUUAAAAAUGCAGUCGAUUGGUUAUUUUUGUCUUUGCAUCUGCGCGUUCGUAUUAGUACAAGCUGUACAGUACAAGAAGAAAGGAUACAGUGGAUAUGGCCGUAGAGUUGGAUACGGAGGUGGUAAUAGAUAUGGUGGCGGUAAUGGAUACAAUGGCGGAAAUGAAUAUGAUGCUCUAACUGGAUAUAAUGGCGGUAGUAAUGGAUAUAACGGUGGCGAUUAUGUUGACUUUGCUCCGAGUGAAAACCAAAAUGGUUAUAAUGGAAACGGAGGUAACGGAAAUGGUUAUGAAGGAAAUGGAUACGGUGCAAGAAAAUCUUACGGGAAAAGCUCAUACGGCAAAGAGCGAAAAGGUGGCUACUAAGGAUCAUACCAACAAGAUGCAACCAGAAUUCUGACAGCCCAAUCGACAUGUGUGUGUUUAUAUUGAUUUUAACAUUUGUAUUUAUCUGAUCUUAUUUUGUAAAAUAUUCAAAAACAAAUAAAUUAUAUUCUUCUUAA